This 471-nucleotide ribosomal RNA is filed under the name uncultured bacterium. Its description in RNAcentral is "SSU rRNA". It matches the Rfam family "Bacterial small subunit ribosomal RNA", at positions 26 to 518 of the family's 1533-position model. The record is from RNAcentral.
AGCCUGAACGCUGGCGGCGUGGCUAAGACAUGCAAGUCGUACGGGGUCCGCAAGGAUCCAGUGGCGAACGGGUGAGUAAAGUAUCGCUAACGUACCCCUAUGUCCGGGAUAGCUGGGGGAAACUCCAGGUAAUACCGGGUGACAUCACUUUCUCGCAUGAGAAGGUGCUCAAAGGGAAACCGCAAAAGGGGAGCGGGGCGAGUAUACGGUAUCAGCUAGUUGGUGAGGUAACGGCUCACCAAGGCUAUGACGCGUAGCCGGACUGAGAGGUCGGACGGCCACAUUGGGACUGAGACACUGCCCAGACUCCUACGGGGGGCUGCAGUAACGAAUCUUCCGCAAUGCACGCAAGUGUGACGGAGCGACGCCGCGUGUGGGACGAAGUCCUUCGGGAUGUAAACCACUGUCAGGGGUUACCAAGUUCUGAGGAACCCCAGAGGAAGGCACGGCUAACUCUGUGCCAGCAGCCGC